RNAcentral lists this ribosomal RNA (330 nucleotides) under Triticum aestivum (bread wheat). RNAcentral's name for it is "partial small subunit ribosomal RNA". The record is from RNAcentral. Lineage: Eukaryota; Viridiplantae; Streptophyta; Magnoliopsida; Poales; Poaceae.
AUGGAAACCAUAAAUUUUUGGUUGAAUUACCUUGACAGCCAAGUGAAACUGGCCUUGGCAGAGAAUAAACAGCUCACCGAUGACUUGGUGGAGCUGCGUGGUCUGUACUUGCAGGACAUUGCUAAACACAUGCAUGCAAUAGAAGAGAUGGGCCAGUCCAUGAAGUUGACUCAUCAGGUGGUAAUGAUGCUCAGUGAGGAGAAUCAGAGGCUAAGGAAUGAUCGCCGUGGAAUCGAGGCUAAGAUGGACUCCAUGGAGGAGGAUAUCAAAGCGACUAUGAAUGAUGUUCACGAGAUGAGAGAAGCAUGGGGUUCGACAAUGCUUACAUGA